UUUUUUUUUUUUUUCUGAGACAGAGUCUGGCUCUUUUGCCCAGACUGGAGUACAAUGGCACAAUCUCAGCUCACUGCAACCUCCACCUCCCGGGUUCCAGCGAUUCUCAGGCCUCAGCCUCCUGAGUAGUUGGGAUUACAGGUGUGUGCCACCACACCUGGCUAAUUUUUGUAUGUUUAGUAGAGGCAGGGUUUUGCCAUGUUGGCCAGGAUGGUCUCAAACUCCUGACAUCAAGUGAUCCGCCAGCCUUGGCCUCUCAAAGUGCUGGGAUUACAGGCGUGAGCCACCAUGCCCAGCCCACAUUUAUUCUUUCAACAGUGCUUCGAGGUAGGGGAUAUUUAUCCCCUCUUCACAGAUAAAAAAACAGAAGCUCAGAGAGGUUAGCAUGACCAAGGUCACACAGCCAGCAAACGGCAGGACUCAGAUUCUCUGAUAACUCCUGGCACAGGGGGUCUCUUCCAUCAGUGCUCCCCACCUGACCCCCGGUCCUCCCUGCCACCUUUCCCAGGGCGGGUGCAGGGGGCUGAGGGUGCCACGCCCAGCUGGCAGGAGAUGCAGCAGCUCUGCCUGCCCCUGAAGGACCCAACUGCGAAUCAGCAGCCUGGUAUCCAGGCAACCAGCCUCCCUGGCUUCAGAUAAGCAGAAACAGCUGGGAGUUGCUGAGGCUGGAACACCAUCAGGGGAGGGAGGAGGAGCCCACCAGCCAAUCAGCGUGUUAUUGUGACACGCUGUUAUUCUUACCCUCCCAGACCUUGGCUUGACUGGGGCCUUUCCCCCAAAUUUAUCCUUACCACUGCCACAGGGGAGGGGUCUCCAGGGGUUCCACCUAGCCCUGAGCCUGGCACAAUUGAGGGGACAUAAGGGGAGAAAUGUUGGCGGUCCCUCUUUCCGUGAGCAAGGGAGAAAAGGAAAGUUGGCCAAAGGCUGCCAAGAUUAAGAGUCUCUGGGGUGAGUUGACAAGCAGAAGUAGUUGAGUUUCACCUUUUGGAGCCUCCAGGCCUCAACGAGAGGUUUUCCUCCCCACUAUACCAGGCCAGCUGAGUACAGGUUCAGCUGGAUAACCCCACCCAACACCUAUGAUGGAAACAGCAACUGGGCCAUGGGUGAGGGAAGCCAUGUGGACAUAUGGACUGUCAGACAAGCAAGAUCUGGCUCAGCCCCAGCUCUGCUGAUGACAAGGUUGGCCACGCCUCUCUGAGCCUCAGUUUCCUCAUCUGUAAAAUGGAGACAAUCAUACGUACCCUGCUGGCUGGAGGUGGAAAAUAAGGGAGGAAGGCCUGUGAAAUGCCAGGCAUCGUGUCUGACACAGUGGGUACUAACAUGGUUCUCCUCCCCUCCUCGUGUCAGGGCCUGCCCUGCCUGGCCUGGCCACCUCUCCCACACAGGAUUCUGAACUCUCCGGGGCUAUUUCUGUCUCUUCCUCUAAAGGUCAGUGCCUUUCCUGGGAUAUGGCAGCUGCUGCCUCUUUUCCACCUCUAAGUGGCAUUAAUCCCAUGUCAGGGGGACAGUGGUUGCCCCAGAUGGCUUUCCCCAUCCCC
Molecule: long non-coding RNA, 1538 nt
Filed under: Macaca fascicularis (crab-eating macaque)
Lineage: Eukaryota; Metazoa; Chordata; Mammalia; Primates; Cercopithecidae
Description: lncRNA (ENSMFAG00000057047.1)
Source: RNAcentral